RNAcentral lists this non-coding RNA (102 nucleotides) under Candidatus Neoarthromitus. RNAcentral describes it as "Candidatus Arthromitus Guanine sequence". It matches the Rfam family "Purine riboswitch aptamer". Rfam says of the family: Riboswitches are metabolite binding domains within certain messenger RNAs that serve as precision sensors for their corresponding targets. Allosteric rearrangement of mRNA structure is mediated by ligand binding, and this results in modulation of gene expression. The record is from RNAcentral. Lineage: Bacteria; Bacillati; Bacillota; Clostridia; Eubacteriales; Clostridiaceae.
AUUAUUAGUAUUGGAUUAUCCCGUAUAUAAUCGAUAAUAUGGUUCGAAAGUCUCUACCUACUUACCUUAAAUGAGUAGACUACGGGUGCUUAUUAAAUUGAU